Long non-coding RNA from Topomyia yanbarensis, 2202 nucleotides. RefSeq lists it as uncharacterized. The transcript has 3 exons. Lineage: Eukaryota; Metazoa; Arthropoda; Insecta; Diptera; Culicidae. The record is from RefSeq and is a predicted model, not a curated record.
CCAAUAUGAACGUUCUCGCGGGCUGCAUCAAGGUGGGCCGUGCGUUGAGAGAGCGCACUGUUACAAAAUCCUUCAUAGCUCUCGAUAGAAACAUAAAUGAAAAAUUAUCAAUACACAUCAAUACUGGGGUGUGAGCUAGUGGCAUCGGGAAUGGAAUGUUGCUACAGGAAGCGGAACACAACUUGAGAGUCACCAAUAACAGCACCCCUUUUCUAGAGAAUAAUUCUUCACUAGUGGGAUAUUUCAUCUUACUACACUGAGUAUAAUUUUCACGCGUUUCAUCCGGUUCGAAGGACCAUAAUUAUGUUGGUGACGCUACCAACAUAAGGGCUGAAGACAUAUUUGGGUGCAACGGGAACGGCCAGUUGGCACUUCACAUCGAUGAAUUCCCCUGGCGCCGCUUCCUUAUACGACGAGAGAAUCCAAGCUUUCAAUACUGGGUAAAUUCCCCUGGCGCCGCUUCCACAAUGCGACGAGAGAAUUCUAGCUGGAUGGAGACAAAACCAGGCGGAACAGGAAUGUUCGGGAUCCAACUAGUCCAAUGAACAAUUGGAAACUGAAUGACUGAUUGAGAACAGGACGCUUGUAUUUAUACCUGAACUGCUGCUUCGGCGAACUGAAUGGCUGACGCUGAUUGGCCCACCAAUCAACGCUCAGGAUGGCGUCAUCGGUGUGUGGCGUGCUGCGGCAUGUUGGUGCGUGCGCAUCCUUUUUCUUUCUCUUUCUCACUCGUUCGUGGCGUCGCUAGCAAAUUACGCAGUUUGCUGGGUUCGAGAUGUUUCGCUGAGCGGUGUGUCGGGCUGGUCAGAGAAUAUUCUGGUCGGAGAACAUUCUGGUUGAAGCAAAUCUUCGCUAUCGCGAACACAAUGAAUAUAAAAAAUUACUUAAUUUUUACUAUGAAAUAAUUAAAUUUAAAUUAAUAGUUAAAAAGUUAUAUGACGACAUAAGACAAUUUAAAUUAAUGGUUAGAUGACAACAUAAGACAAUUCAAAUUAUUGGUUAGAUGGCAACAUAAGAAAAUUUAAAUUAAUAGUUGAGGUAUUUGGGUUUGUAAGUAACUUUUAAUGUUAGAUUUAAAUGAUAAACGGUUAGUUAUGAUCUGUAAAUCUCUAGGUAGGUUGUUAUAUUUUGCAGGGCCUAUGAAAGAAAAUCGUUUCAGGUCAAAGUUUGAAUAUGUGCGAGAUCGUGAGAGAUAAUUAAUUUGCCUGGUGUUGUACAGCCGAGGUAUUACGUUUAUGAUUAAGUUGUGGAUACUUGUUGGGUUGUGUAGCACAUUGUGCAUCAAAAGCAAUGUCUGCUCUUCACACAUGCCUUGAAUAGGUAGGAUUUUAUGAGGAAAAUAUGUGAAUAACCUUACCGAUGAAAACAGAAACGGUAAGUUAUAUAUUAUUUUAAUACAUCGGUUUUGUAAAAUUUGCAGUUUUUUAAGUUUUGAUUUACAGGCUCGACCCCAUGCAAUAAUUAGAUAGUUUAGCUGAGAGUGAAUGUGAGCAAAGUAGAACAUAAGCAAACCCUUUCGUGGAACGAAGCUACUAACACGUUUUAAAAUGCCACACAUAGACGAAAUUUUUAUCGCAAUUUCCUUGAUAUGUUUAUCCCAAGACAAGGUACAAUCUAGAUGAACACCUAAAUAUUUAAAUGAUUCUACUUUCUCUAUAACGUAAUCGCCCAUCACUAAAAUUGGAACACUGGGAAGGAUUUUUCAUGGGGAUCGAAAGAUCAUAUAUUUAGUUUUUUGCAAGUUAAGUAGAGUAGAUUGUCGCAAAAAUAUUCCUGGAGAAUUUGUAGACCAUCAUUCAUGCUUGAAAUAAUCGAUCUUGGGUUGACAUUAGGAUAAAAUAAGGCUGUGUCAUCAGCAAAUAACCUUGGAGUUCCAGUAAGAGGAAUUUUACCAAUGUCGUUUAUGUAAAUGAGAAAGAGUAGAGGCCCAAUAUUACUCCCUUGGGGUACACCUGUGCUUAUUUGUCUUAGCGAACUUAUCUCUCCAUCAUAUGACACAAAUUCUGUUCUACUUUCCAAGUAGCUGCGGAUAAUGUCGUUUGCAACUCCUCUAAUCCCAUAAGAUUCCAAUUUUUGCAGCAAAAUACCAUGAUUUAGAGUAUCGAAAGCUUUCAAAUCUAAAAACAAGGCACCUACGCAUCGCUUAGAAUCCGUUUCCUCCAGUAUUUUGUCUACAAGUUCAGUUAUAGCUAUUGUGGUACU